RNAcentral lists this unclassified non-coding RNA (274 nucleotides) under Paraphaeosphaeria sp. RNAcentral's name for it is "partial internal transcribed spacer region". The stretch from base 1 to 46 matches the Rfam family "Eukaryotic small subunit ribosomal RNA", at positions 1786 to 1831 of the family's 1831-position model. The record is from RNAcentral. Lineage: Eukaryota; Fungi; Ascomycota; Dothideomycetes; Pleosporales; Didymosphaeriaceae.
AAGUCGUAACAAGGUUUCCGUAGGUGAACCUGCGGAAGGAUCAUUAUCCAUCAAAAACGUUUGUGAGGUUCCGUGGUUCCUGGGGCAUUAAGCCAAUGCAGGUCAAUGUAAUUCGGGAAGCAACGUUUCAUCCUUUUCUUUACGAGCACCUUUCGUUCUCCUUCGGCGGGGCAACCUGCCGCUGGAACUUAACAAAACCUUUUUUUGCAUCUAGCAUUACCUGUUCUGAUACAAACAAUCGUUACAACUUUCAACAAUGGAUCUCUUGGCUCUG